AGUGUACUCCCUCCAUCCAGAAAUAAGUGACUCGGAUUUGUCUAGAUUCGUAUGUAUCUAGACGUGUUUUCGUGUAUAGAUACAUGCGAAUCUAGUCAAAUCCGAGUCACUUAUUUCCGGAUGGAGGAAGUACAAU
This is a non-coding RNA of Brachypodium distachyon (stiff brome), 136 nucleotides long. The record is from Rfam. NCBI's taxonomy places the organism in Eukaryota, Viridiplantae, Streptophyta, Magnoliopsida, Poales, Poaceae.